RNAcentral lists this ribosomal RNA (2900 nucleotides) under Klebsiella pneumoniae. Its description in RNAcentral is "bacterial LSU rRNA". It matches the Rfam family "Bacterial large subunit ribosomal RNA". Lineage: Bacteria; Pseudomonadati; Pseudomonadota; Gammaproteobacteria; Enterobacterales; Enterobacteriaceae. The record is from RNAcentral.
UUAAGCGACUAAGCGUACACGGUGGAUGCCCUGGCAGUCAGAGGCGAUGAAGGACGUGCUAAUCUGCGAAAAGCGUCGGUAAGGUGAUAUGAACCGUUAUAGCCGGCGAUGUCCGAAUGGGGAAACCCAGUGCAAUUCGUUGCACUAUCGUUAACUGAAUACAUAGGUUAACGAGGCGAACCGGGGGAACUGAAACAUCUAAGUACCCCGAGGAAAAGAAAUCAACCGAGAUUCCCCCAGUAGCGGCGAGCGAACGGGGAGCAGCCCAGAGUCUGAAUCAGCUUGUGUGUUAGUGGAACGGUCUGGAAAGUCCGACGGUACAGGGUGAUAGUCCCGUACACCAAAAUGCACAGGUUGUGAACUCGAAGAGUAGGGCGGGACACGUGGUAUCCUGUCUGAAUAUGGGGGGACCAUCCUCCAAGGCUAAAUACUCCUGACUGACCGAUAGUGAACCAGUACCGUGAGGGAAAGGCGAAAAGAACCCCGGCGAGGGGAGUGAAAAAGAACCUGAAACCGUGUACGUACAAGCAGUGGGAGCACCUUCGGGUGUGACUGCGUACCUUUUGUAUAAUGGGUCAGCGACUUAUAUUCUGUAGCAAGGUUAACCGUAUAGGGGAGCCGCAGGGAAACCGAGUCUUAACUGGGCGUUAAGUUGCAGGGUAUAGACCCGAAACCCGGUGAUCUAGCCAUGGGCAGGUUGAAGGUUGGGUAACACUAACUGGAGGACCGAACCGACUAAUGUUGAAAAAUUAGCGGAUGACUUGUGGCUGGGGGUGAAAGGCCAAUCAAACCGGGAGAUAGCUGGUUCUCCCCGAAAGCUAUUUAGGUAGCGCCUCGUGAAUUCAUCUUCGGGGGUAGAGCACUGUUUCGGCUAGGGGGUCAUCCCGACUUACCAACCCGAUGCAAACUACGAAUACCGAAGAAUGUUAUCACGGGAGACACACGGCGGGUGCUAACGUCCGUCGUGAAGAGGGAAACAACCCAGACCGCCAGCUAAGGUCCCAAAGUCAUGGUUAAGUGGGAAACGAUGUGGGAAGGCACAGACAGCCAGGAUGUUGGCUUAGAAGCAGCCAUCAUUUAAAGAAAGCGUAAUAGCUCACUGGUCGAGUCGGCCUGCGCGGAAGAUGUAACGGGGCUAAACCAUGCACCGAAGCUGCGGCAGCGACACUAUGUGUUGUUGGGUAGGGGAGCGUUCUGUAAGCCUGCGAAGGUGACCUGUGAGGGUUGCUGGAGGUAUCAGAAGUGCGAAUGCUGACAUAAGUAACGAUAAAGCGGGUGAAAAGCCCGCUCGCCGGAAGACCAAGGGUUCCUGUCCAACGUUAAUCGGGGCAGGGUGAGUCGACCCCUAAGGCGAGGCCGAAAGGCGUAGUCGAUGGGAAACAGGUUAAUAUUCCUGUACUUGGUGUUACUGCGAAGGGGGGACGGAGAAGGCUAUGUUAGCCGGGCGACGGUUGUCCCGGUUUAAGCAUGUAGGCUGGUUGUCCAGGCAAAUCCGGAUAAUCAAGGCUGAGGUGUGAUGACGAGGCACUACGGUGCUGAAGUAACAAAUGCCCUGCUUCCAGGAAAAGCCUCUAAGCAUCAGGUAACAUUAAAUCGUACCCCAAACCGACACAGGUGGUCAGGUAGAGAAUACCAAGGCGCUUGAGAGAACUCGGGUGAAGGAACUAGGCAAAAUGGUGCCGUAACUUCGGGAGAAGGCACGCUGGUGUGUAGGUGAAGUCCCUGCGGAUGGAGCUGAGACCAGUCGAAGAUACCAGCUGGCUGCAACUGUUUAUUAAAAACACAGCACUGUGCAAACACGAAAGUGGACGUAUACGGUGUGACGCCUGCCCGGUGCCGGAAGGUUAAUUGAUGGGGUUAUCCGUAAGGAGAAGCUCUUGAUCGAAGCCCCGGUAAACGGCGGCCGUAACUAUAACGGUCCUAAGGUAGCGAAAUUCCUUGUCGGGUAAGUUCCGACCUGCACGAAUGGCGUAAUGAUGGCCAGGCUGUCUCCACCCGAGACUCAGUGAAAUUGAACUCGCUGUGAAGAUGCAGUGUACCCGCGGCAAGACGGAAAGACCCCGUGAACCUUUACUAUAGCUUGACACUGAACAUUGAGCCUUGAUGUGUAGGAUAGGUGGGAGGCUUUGAAGCGUGGACGCCAGUCUGCGUGGAGCCAACCUUGAAAUACCACCCUUUAAUGUUUGAUGUUCUAACGUUGGCCCCUUACCGGGGUUGCGGACAGUGUCUGGUGGGUAGUUUGACUGGGGCGGUCUCCUCCCAAAGCGUAACGGAGGAGCACGAAGGUUAGCUAAUCCUGGUCGGACAUCAGGAGGUUAGUGCAAUGGCAUAAGCUAGCUUGACUGCGAGCGUGACGGCGCGAGCAGGUGCGAAAGCAGGUCAUAGUGAUCCGGUGGUUCUGAAUGGAAGGGCCAUCGCUCAACGGAUAAAAGGUACUCCGGGGAUAACAGGCUGAUACCGCCCAAGAGUUCAUAUCGACGGCGGUGUUUGGCACCUCGAUGUCGGCUCAUCACAUCCUGGGGCUGAAGUAGGUCCCAAGGGUAUGGCUGUUCGCCAUUUAAAGUGGUACGCGAGCUGGGUUUAGAACGUCGUGAGACAGUUCGGUCCCUAUCUGCCGUGGGCGCUGGAGAAUUGAGGGGGGCUGCUCCUAGUACGAGAGGACCGGAGUGGACGCAUCACUGGUGUUCGGGUUGUCAUGCCAAUGGCACUGCCCGGUAGCUAAAUGCGGAAGAGAUAAGUGCUGAAAGCAUCUAAGCACGAAACUUGCCCCGAGAUGAGUUCUCCCUGAGACUUUAAGUCUCCUGAAGGAACGUUAAAGACGAUGACGUUGAUAGGCCGGGUGUGUAAGCGCAGCGAUGCGUUGAGCUAACCGGUACUAAUGAACCGUGAGGCUUAACCUU